UAUCGGUCCCCCCGCAACGAUAAGCUGUGAACCCGGUCAGGCCCGGAAGGGAGCAGCCGCAGCAGUGGUUUCGUGUGCCGGGGUGCGGCUGGUGCGG
RNAcentral lists this signal recognition particle RNA (97 nucleotides) under Candidatus Sedimenticola endophacoides. Its description in RNAcentral is "Bacterial small signal recognition particle RNA". It matches the Rfam family "Bacterial small signal recognition particle RNA". Rfam says of the family: The signal recognition particle (SRP) is a universally conserved ribonucleoprotein involved in the co-translational targeting of proteins to membranes. The record is from Rfam by way of RNAcentral. Lineage: Bacteria; Pseudomonadati; Pseudomonadota; Gammaproteobacteria; Chromatiales; Sedimenticolaceae. RNAcentral also lists the same sequence under 1 other name.